RNAcentral lists this ribosomal RNA (253 nucleotides) under uncultured bacterium. RNAcentral describes it as "partial 16S ribosomal RNA". It matches the Rfam family "Bacterial small subunit ribosomal RNA", at positions 524 to 776 of the family's 1533-position model. The record is from RNAcentral.
UACGGGGGGGGCAAGCGUUGUUCGGAAUUACUGGGCGUAAAGGGCUCGUAGGUGGCCAACUAAGUCAGACGUGAAAUCCCUCAGCUUAACUGGGGAACUGCGUCUGAUACUGGAUGGCUUGAGUUUGGGAGAGGGAUGCGGAAUUCCAGGUGUAGCGGUGAAAUGCGCAGAUAUCAGGAAGAACACCCGUGGCUAAGGCGGCUCUCUAGUACGGUACUGACGCUGAGACGCGAAAGCGUGGGGAGCGAACAGG